This 878-nucleotide long non-coding RNA is filed under the name Notechis scutatus (mainland tiger snake). RNAcentral's name for it is "lncRNA (ENSNSUG00000004548.1)". The record is from RNAcentral. Lineage: Eukaryota; Metazoa; Chordata; Lepidosauria; Squamata; Elapidae.
CCCCAUUGAAGCCCCCCGAGGCCAGGAAGAGCUACCUGCUGGUGCUAUUGGUCCCUCUUGGUGCCUUCCUGCUGGGAGGCCUCCUGUUCUUGUGGCAUGGACGUGGCGGAUGUCCUCGGAAGCAGCACCAGGAUCUGCCCCUGGAGCCCACGGAGAACGAAGAGGAGUGCCCUACCUUCCCCACCCAAGAGACCCUGUUGGGGCAGCAGGCGGGCCUGCAAGAGAAGGACGGCCGCCUUGCCCAGCAGGAGCAGGUCUGACCAGGAAGCCGUGGGGAUGCGAGGCAAGCUGCACAGCCGGGCUGCCCAGGGGCCUUCUCCCCAUUGGACAAGGGCAGCCCUGCGGAGGCCUGGGCUCUGCCACGCAGGUGCCCCUUCCGGCGGCUUCUUUGCCGUUCGGGGGAACUGCGAUCCCAGCAGGCUGAGAGUCGAGUCAAGCCGCCUCCACUUUGGCUAAGAACCUGGCACGGUGUGGGUCUCAGCCAGGGGAGACCCCCACCCCUCUCCUCCCUCGCCCAGAUCUGCCCUGGAGGACGAGGCAAUGGGUGGGCUCUGCGGGGCUCCAAUGGGAACUGAAAGCCAAGAGCCACGAAGCCAAUGAUUUCAUGGGAAGGCAACUCCCAGCAGCCCGUGGGGGUCUCCAGAGCAGCGACUGGUCCUGCUGGCCGGGGCCUUUGGUGGCAGCCAGCUCUGCCCUCCUGGCAUGGUCCGGGUUAGAGGUGGCAGCUGUGAGGGAGGCCUCCGUCCUCCCGUCCACCCCUGGGCCGGCCGGCUGCAUCUUGGAACAGCCGGGACGGAGCCCCUUUAUUCUCCCAUCUGUGUGUUUCUCGGACCGCAGCUCCGUGUUGAGCUCUUAUAAAUCCGACCUUUGGAAAAGCA